GAACUGCAGUAGUGGUGGAAAUAUGUUUUCUCUUUCUCCAAUCCCCAUGUGUUUUACUUCUCUUAUGUUCCUUUUCACUACGUAACCUCUGGCUCCAAGAAGAUUAGAAUGAGAACAUUCCAGGAUUGAACCUCAGGGUGAUGCCUGACACCCCCAACACGAGCAGCCCACUGACCAUCAAUGCAGCGCAAAUGACUGGUUUCUGAUCCUUCUGCAUAAGCGGCUAUCACAGGGGCAUCCCCAGGUCACCAAAGGAACACAUUCCUGAAUAGCCAGUAAAAUGACUAUUCUUGAAGAGAUAGGUGUGGAACCAUAUUCCGUCCAAUCACUUGUGAUCAGAGCUUGGGACAACAUGGCCCAGAGUCAGCUCAGCAAGGACCAUGGAUAAGGUAGGUGAUGACAAUGAAGCUUAACAGAUAUAAAUGUUCACAUUUAUAUAAUAACUUUUAAAAUAAUAAGUAAUGAAGACUUGCCUCAGUGAUAGUUUAUAGGAACAACUGAUGUUGAUUUUAUUCAUCAUAACAUUACUUAGGGCAAAAAUGUUAUGUAGAACAUGUGAAGAAGGACACUGACCAAUUAGUAUGUUAUCAAAAGUGGAAGGCUCUACAAUUUAUAGGAAAUGUGAAAUGAAUUUAUAAACAGUAAGAGUGUUCGCCUAAGUUGUUGUAAUAUAUAAGAGAGGAAACACCAGGGCUAUAUUACUCCCAUGGGCAGGGGUUGACAGGGUGGGUUUUGGAGCAG
Non-coding RNA from Sus scrofa (pig), 741 nucleotides. Lineage: Eukaryota; Metazoa; Chordata; Mammalia; Artiodactyla; Suidae. The record is from RefSeq and is a predicted model, not a curated record.